GGGGGCGACAGGCUUCGACGGGUUUGGCGAGGAUAUCGCUGCGUGCCCAGGUCGUCAGUCACCUGGUAAAACCACUGGCAAAUUUCAUAACUGCCAAUUCAAACCUGGCACUGGCUNNNNNNACGGGUCGCGUAAGAGCAGGUAAGGGCUAGUUGCCGCCGGGGCCGGCGAGGCGCCCCGAUGGUGAGACCUCCAAAGCCUUGUCUACGCACGUAGGAGCGGUAUCGGAGUCAUUCUCGGACCGGGGUUCGAUUCCCCGCGCCUCCAUGC
This 270-nucleotide transfer-messenger RNA is filed under the name Gemmatimonadota bacterium. Its description in RNAcentral is "Gemmatimonadetes bacterium transfer-messenger RNA". It matches the Rfam family "transfer-messenger RNA". Rfam says of the family: Bacterial tmRNA, also known as 10Sa RNA or SsrA, is named for its dual tRNA and mRNA-like properties. The record is from RNAcentral. Lineage: Bacteria; Pseudomonadati; Gemmatimonadota.